RNAcentral lists this ribosomal RNA (241 nucleotides) under uncultured bacterium. Its description in RNAcentral is "partial 16S ribosomal RNA". It matches the Rfam family "Bacterial small subunit ribosomal RNA", at positions 81 to 339 of the family's 1533-position model. The record is from RNAcentral.
CGGAUUUUAUUUUAGUGGCGGACGGGUGAGUAACACGUGAGAAUCUGCCUUUAGGAAAAGGAUAAUUUUUAGAAAUAGAAACUAAUACUUUAUAUGCCUUUGGUGAAAGAAGUAAUUCGCCUAAAGAGGAGCUCGCGUCUGAUUAGCUAGUUGGUAGAGUAAUAGCCUACCAAGGCGACGAUCAGUAGCUGGUCUGAGAGGACGAUCAGCCACACUGGAACUGAGACACGGUCCAGACUCC